This 819-nucleotide ribosomal RNA is filed under the name uncultured eukaryote. RNAcentral's name for it is "SSU rRNA". It matches the Rfam family "Eukaryotic small subunit ribosomal RNA", at positions 629 to 1426 of the family's 1831-position model. The record is from RNAcentral.
CGGUGUUUAACUGGCGUGAUGUGGGACGUCCUACCGGUGGGCUUAGCCUCGCGAGGGGCGGCCCAACUAAUAUCCCGUCGCGGUGCUCUUUACUGAGUGUCGAGUCGGGCCGGUACGUUUACUUUGAACAAAUUAGAGUGCUUAAAGCAGGCUAUCCUCGCCUGAAUACUGCGUGCAUGGAAUAAUGGAAUAGGACCUCGGUUCUAUUUUGUUGGUUUUCGGAACCCCGAGGUAAUGAUUAAUAGGGACAGAUGGGGGCAUUCGUAUUGCGACGUUAGAGGUGAAAUUCUUGGAUCGUCGCAAGACGGACAGAAGCGAAAGCAUUUGCCAAAAAUGUUUUCAUUAAUCAAGAACGAAAGUUAGAGGUUCGAAGGCGAUCAGAUACCGCCCUAGUUCUAACCAUAAACGAUGCCAGCUAGCGAUCCGCCGAAGUUCCUCCGAUGACUCGGCGGGCAGCUUCCGGGAAACCAAAGCUUUUGGGUUCCGGGGGAAGUAUGGUUGCAAAGCUGAAACUUAAAGGAAUUGACGGAAGGGCACCACCAGGAGUGGAGCCUGCGGCUUAAUUUGACUCAACACGGGAAACCUCACCAGGCCCAGACACCGGAAGGAUUGACAGAUUGAUAGCUCUUUCUUGAUUCGGUGGGUGGUGGUGCAUGGCCGUUCUUAGUUGGUGGAGCGAUUUGUCUGGUUAAUUCCGAUAGCGAACGAGACUCUAGCCUGCUAAAUAGGCGUACCUUAUGGUAUCGCGAAGGCCCCCGGCUUCGGCCGGUGGGUUUUUACUACCAACGUACAAACAAAUCUUCUUAGAGGGACAGGCGG